This 21-nucleotide ribosomal RNA is filed under the name Rhizopus arrhizus. RNAcentral describes it as "Rhizopus oryzae partial 28S ribosomal RNA". Lineage: Eukaryota; Fungi; Mucoromycota; Mucoromycetes; Mucorales; Rhizopodaceae. The record is from RNAcentral.
AUUACCCGCUGAACUUAAGCA